Molecule: non-coding RNA, 102 nt
Filed under: Otolemur garnettii (small-eared galago)
Lineage: Eukaryota; Metazoa; Chordata; Mammalia; Primates; Galagidae
Source: RNAcentral
UGUCUGGUCUCAUGGAGUGAUGUUUACAACUAAUUGAUCACAGCCAGUUACAGAUUCCUCUGUUCCUUCUUCACUACCACUGCUUCACUUAACUAAUGUUAA